ACUCUGGAAAUUAUUUUCUCAUUAAGGCUUGUACAGUCGUCAACUAACUAAUUAUUUAUCAAAAACGACAAAAAAAAAUGAAAAAUCCAUUCGCAAUAUUAAUCUUUUCGUUAAUAAUAGCAAUUUUUUACACCGAAACUAACGCGUGGACUACAAGAUGUGAGAACAAGGUAAGUAAAUGCAGCUGCGACAAAUUUUGCACCCAAAAAGAUGGACAGCGAGGUUGUCGACGAAUUCAGGAUUUAGGUCGAACGUAUAUCACGUACCCUUGCCUUUCAAAGAUUAAGGACUAUCGAGCUGUUUGCGAUUGUGUUAUGGAUCUAGUGGAUAGGAAAAGCCACCAUGGGCAUGGGCACUGAAUUAUAAAGAAAAAGAAAACAAAAACUUACAAGAUUUUUUAAAGACUGAAUUUUUUAGUGAAUUUUGUAAUACCUACUUAGACUCAAUAUCAAAUUUUCGAAAAAUAGCCCAUAUUAGUAAAUUUUUAAUACAAGUAUUAAAUUAUUAUUUUUUUUACAUAUUUUCUUACAAUUUUCGAAGAUGCUACACCUGAGGUUGAUGUUGCUACUGCAGUUCAUUUGAAAACAGUAAAGCCUUUCAAAAGGGCAUACAUCCCAAUUCCUCAGCUCAUUCAAAAAAUAAAAUUGUUAAUCAUUGAGUAA
Long non-coding RNA from Planococcus citri (citrus mealybug), 662 nucleotides. RefSeq lists it as uncharacterized. The transcript is spliced from 2 exons. Lineage: Eukaryota; Metazoa; Arthropoda; Insecta; Hemiptera; Pseudococcidae. The record is from RefSeq and is a predicted model, not a curated record.